UACUACUCCUUGCUUGAUUGAACUUAACGUACGUAGAUUUAUAUUGCUAGUAUAUCUGUGUAUCCUCUUUACAUUUUUGUUCUUUUUUUCCUUUUGUCUAUUUUUUUUUCUCUUUUGUUUGGUUAGUUCUGAUUUUUGGGAGCUCCAUUGUGAUUUCUAAGAGGAGAUUUAUCGGAUGUACGUACGUAUGUACUUAUGUUAAUAACGUACUCUUCAAUAGUUUGUAGCAUUUUUCAUAGAUGAAUAAGAGAGCCCGGCCGUCAUUCUUGUUUUGUGUAUAGAAGUGUGUACUAAUCAAUAAUUACAGUUGUUUACCUGCAUAGUUAAACUGCAAACACCUAAAACCUAAUCGAUCCUGUAUAUAUGAUCGGGUUCAAUUUACAGUUCGAUCGCCUACCACUCAUACCCUAGCUGGUACAGCAUUUCUAUAUUUCAUUUCAAUAUACGUGAUAAUAAUAAAUUGGGUCUGGAAAUUCAAAAUUUACUUCCCAACAAUAUCUCCAACUGUAUAUGUAUAUCAAAAACCCUAACACUCUUAGAGUUGAUCAAUGAAAUGGUGGUUGGGUUGUUGAAAUGGGUGGAUAGAGCAGUGAUAUUUCUGUGGAAAUAUCAAUGGAACAUAUAUGAUAGUGGAAUUUGUACAUGGUGGGGAAGGAAUGGGAUGAGAAAAUGAUAAAGUUAGGUGCAGCAUUAGCUAGGGUAACUAGUAAAGGAAUAAUGUGUGGAAGAAAUGGGAUAUGGUGAAUUGCAUAUUAGGAUAGGAUACAUGCGCGCAUGCAUUGCGUUCCAGCUUUGCUUGGUAGUCUUGUUUGUGAUCUUUUUAUGGUGGGUUAAAGGAUUAGAGGGAGAUAGAAAUGGCAUGGCCAGCCAAGCUCAAAUGGGAAUGAUCGACAUGAAAGCACAAGGCAUCCAAAGGAAUGGUACUUAUUCAUGGGGUAUGUGGGGUUUGAUACGCAUAUAUGGUGACAAAACAUAUAAAUUGGAAAGUGAAGUGCACAUGACUCCUACUACUAGUUGCCCCCACGAAACAUACAUAUAGGUGAGCCGUGAGCGAGAGGUCGAUCACGAAUCCAUUAACUUCUUCCUUUGUGUAAAUUCUAGCUUCUCGUGUUUUUUUUACAGUUAGAUCAUCAAUAAGUUGUGAAAACAGUUAUGCAUACAAGUAGAGGAUCCAGGAAAAACUACUUUGGCAUAAUAUUGGUUUCUUUUAGUUGAAUACAAGGAAUUACAUUACGCAUGCAUACAUUUCCACUACAAUGAGUUCCAAAACGAUGACAAUUGAUUGACCGAGAGACUGAGAGAGCCCUCCGAUCCCCCCGCUAAUAUUUAAGAAGGAAUGAUCGGACUCAUCGGAGUGCUAAUUACUUUCCUGAAACUCUGAAAGAGUUCCUCAAAAUGCCAUAGAUUGGCUUAAGCAUCAGGGAGUUGUAGCUAGGAAUAACUACUUGAUAUGUUUAGGGUAAAAUGACCUAUCCCUACUUUCAGCUGGCCAACUUCUAGAAAGAAAUAUAUAGCAGAUGUUUCUUCAACAGACGUAACUAUGUGCUCACAGUUAUGAGAGAGAGAAGGGAUAAUUUGGUGACGACUAGCUAGCUUACAGCAGGCAAUCAAUGAGUGAUGCAUGGUGGUCUGCGUACGUAUGAACAACCGUGAGUGCUUAUGGCACUACAAAGGAAUAAUCCAAAUGGACGAUGUGACAAAUAACAUGUAAUGCGAAAAAACCACAUGCACCGUGUUGGUCACUAGAAUUUGGAACUUUGGAAUAUAACUAUUUGUAUAUAUACUUGCAUAUCAAUUGCAGUAUGAGUUCAAUUUAGUCAUGGUAUGUGGUAUGUCUGAGUUCAAUACGUACGAUCAAACAUUCACAUCAGCAGGUUAAUUAGUGUGAGUUAUUCUGCUUAGGUCUCAUUCUUCAAAACUUGCUCAUCUUGAAACAGUUUAAUCAUUUAGUGUUAACCUUGAAGGCUUGAACUCUCAUUCAGUUGAACCCAAUUUGAGUUGAGGAUUGGUUACUUGUCCUUCCAACUCAAUCUCAGAUCGCCUAACAAACAAUGAAACAAAUCACCUCCUAGGAUCUUAUUAUUUUUACAUUAUCACUUCCUUGCUAUUACGUACAGAAUCCAAAACUCCCAAAUUAUUCCCAAUUAUGUAAAUCACAAGGAAUAUAUGUACGUGUGCCCUGCUUUGCUGAUUAGAUUCGUAUACGUAGUAAAAGCAAAUAAUAUGAAUGGCGUAGUUUCACGAUCAGAAACAUAAAGCUAAAGUUUGUAUAGAUUAAAGCAUUGGAUGCCAUUCAAAGAUCCAACAAUUCAGAACCAUCAUACUAUAAGCUUUAUAUGUCUUUUACCUUUUUCUAUGAAGACAGACACCAAACUACAAUGUUCUCAUGAAUGAAAUUAAGAGACAAGAAUAUAUACAUAGCCACAUGUCAGGCUGAUUAUUAAUGAGAAACCCUAAUGCGCGUGUAGAAAACCCAGAGAAUUUUCCUAUCAUAUGGGAUUCAAGAUUCUUAAGCGCACUUGGUUUAAGUUGUAUCCUGGUUUGACAUAGACCAAACUCUUUAGUCUGUGCUUUACGAUUGAUUUGAAUUGUGAAAGAAAUGGACUUAUAUUGCAUCAAGCAGCGGAAAAAUGAUCGAGCCAGCUUUAGUGCUACCAAUUUCAAAGUUGAUGGGUUCUCAGCAGGGCAAGACCUCACAUUAAAUGAAAGAUACUCCACACAAUUUAAUUUACGAAAACUAGAAAAGAGACAAUUAGUGAUGUUUUGUGGUUGGAACUUGGAAAGUUUGGGCAAAUUCUGCUUAAUUUAAACAGACAAAUUAAGAUUGAAAGCUAUGCAACUUCCAACUCUAAAAAGCUCAGUCACAUUAUUGCAUACACACACACACACUUAUUUAUGGUAGACCGUAUAGAAAACAAUGAUGAAGAUUUUGAUCUCCUAGUGAUUCAUUUUCACAGCCAAGUGCAAACAUAUUUGAUAUAGAAAAUCGUCAGGAACGUCGACAAAGAGCGAUAUCCAACAAGGUAGCGAUGAGUGAUGACCCCAGAGAAAAGAGAGUAUCGAGUAGCAUUAGAGAUUUGGGACUAUAUAUGGAUGUACUAAUAUUGGAGAGAGUAUUAUUUGUCUCGGAAGUUUCUAUUUCAAGACGACAGAAUUUGAUCGGUUGGAAGAGUUAUCUGACCAACGUUUAUGCGAGGGAGUUGAUGAUGGGCAUGGUAAUCAACAUCAGAAAGAGUAAUGGUGCCGGUGAGUGAGUCGACGACGAUGACGCUGCUGAAGAGGGUGAGACCUUGAGAUCGAGUUGUAAUAGUGUUUGCUACCAAGAGUUUCGGACUAAGAUGUGUUGCUCCCUUGCUCACAUGUUUUUGGCAGCAAGGGCAAAGGGAGUUGGCUGAGAGCGAGUCAUUAUGUCUUCUCUGCCGAUAUAACAUGCCUACAGAUUAUUGCUCUUUGCUAGUGUGGAGUGUUCUUAAUUUUCUUUUUGGACAAUAUAUUCCUAUAUAAUAUAAUCUUCAUGACAUCCCUGGUGCCUUAGCUUGUUUAUUUGUGAACUAUGUUCACUUAAUGAUAAGUAGUUUUCCUAAUUUGUGACCAAGUUUCACAAGAAUCUGAAUAAAAAUGAACGUUGCAAGCAUGUUACUAAUCGACUAGACGAGGGAUAUGGAUUUUAGUGGUUCAAAAUUUGGGUAACUUUUCUUUUGCUUCUGGUAAAGGUUUAGAUUUCAUUGAAAUAAAAAGAAUAAAAGAAAAAAAGAAGAGGAAACGGGAACCACAACCUGUAGGGAAUAGUAUACACCUAUACAAUGACCAAAGUCAAUAGCUCAAAGAAAUUCGAAAAACACCAAAUAAGCUUUACCACUCAAAGUUUGGAAAGAACUUGGUCUCAUUAAACCAUAUAAAUUUAGACCUCUGAAAGCUUCAGGUGCAAUUCCCAACUUCACAUACUCAAAAAUAGCAUUUGAAAAUGUGACGCUUUUGGUCGAACAAUAGUGAAUGCUUUUCAACUCCUAGUUCACAGCAAGUAGCUAAUUUCAAUUAAGAAAAGAAACCAAAUACAGCACUUGUCAAUUAUUACAGUGUUGCAUAUGAUUGAGGAAUUCACUAAAAAAGUAUACUAUCAAACAAUGUGGUACAAUGACAUGAUCCGCUAAAUUUGGAACUAGCAAUAUGACAAGUGUUACCGAUAAAGGAGAAUGAAAACUCAAGUCAAAAUUUGCCAAGAAAUGACUGGUUCAUGAGCAUGCAGUGUAAAGUACGAUGCUAAGUUGCUAACCACAGAGCUGCAUAAUGAGAAGAAGGCUAGUUCCACCUUGGAAUCUAACCACUGCGCAUCAACUGGGUUGUAGGUGAUGCGGAUUCUACUAGUAUACUCUCUCUAAUUGGUUUGUAUUUUCUAAUCCCUUGACCCAGAUAAUGCGUCUUCAACGCUCACCAAGGUCCUAACUCUGGAGAAGGGUAUCAAAGUUAAUAUCUUUUAAUCAAGGCACUAUUUGUUCUAACAGAACCCUGAUACUUCACCUAUCUUCUUCUUUGUUUUCUUCGACAUUCAAAGCAAUCUGAACAUGGAGAUCUGAUUUUACUUGUAUAAGAUGCUUGCAGCUUGCUAGGUGGUACUUUCAGGUCUUCAACUAGUAUAUGGCGAAGCUUCUCAUUCUCCUCUGUGAGCUCGUCAAUGAUUUGCUGGUGUUUCAAUACCUGAGACAACAUAAAUUCAAUUAAACAAUUCUAUUACAUUUUCCUAACAGGAGUUGAACAGUUUUAGUAGCUUGAAACAAAAUUGAAGAAAGCAAUUGUUUAGUUGAAUAUUUAGAAAAGAAAAAGGUUGAAUUCUUGAUACAAAGGUGAUGUAUGAGCUACAGAAAAUUGGACUCUACAACACAUGAUAACUUGUUCAAAAACUUGUCAAAUGCUCUAAAAACCACAUUGGAACAACAAUAAAUACUAUAACUAUCUGCUACUAUUACAUUGAAACCACAGAAAAGGGAUCAGAUAUUUGUCAGAAAAAAUGACUUCUUAGCAUAUCUUGAAGGCUGUGAGGAAACUCACAAGUUGGACAUAUCAAAUAGGUAUUUACCAAGCAAUAACAUCACCACCAUAGUUGUCUCUUAGUCUCUUAGAUCCAUCACUUGGGAAAAAUUAAUAAUAUUAUAAAAUAAUUAUAAUAAAAAGGAAUCAAUUGAAACCACAAGUCAAUAUUUACUACCAUUUGAAGGAUUUUAUUCUCCGACCUCAAGCGUCCAGCCUACAAAGGUAAAAUCAAUAAAAAUUAGUACAAAAGUAACAUGAAUGGCAGACACACCCAGGUACCUACUACGCCACUACAGAUUGCAGAGAGAGAAAGUGAAAGAGAGAUCAAACCAAAGGGUCUGCAAUAAAAUCACAAAAAUUUCAGACUUAGAGUUGGAACCUGUACAUACCACGUCACUUAGUUCACUAUCCUCUCCCUUCAAAACUGGACUCUGUAAAAAGCUGCUGAGAACCUUCUCUGUACGACUGCCAAAAGGUGUAUCAACUGGAGAGCUUGUUGAUGUAAAAUUAUCAUAAGUUGAACCUGUACCCUUAUUUCCAUAUCCAGGCAAGCCUUGAGUUGCAUAGUCUGCUGGUUUUGUUGCCAUCUGCAUUAUAUUUCCGACUGGAUUUUGGCUUGAUGAAUCAUUCAUAACGCCAAUGCCGCUUUGCAAUGAACUUGGAAUGGCACCUUGAAGGAUUGGUAAAUUGGGAGAAAUUCCAAAUUUUGUCAUCAUUUUUGCCAUUGUUUGCUGGAGAAUUUAGAGUCAGAAACAUAGUAGUAGGCUCCAACGGGAAUUAACACAUGAAAAAGCAAAGUAAUACUUACCAUAGAAAACAGUUGAAUUUGUUGCAAAAUCCCUGGUUUCAGAGCAAGGCCUGCAUUUGGAAGCAAUAGUAAAUGAAUAUUGUUACAAUGUAGGAACUACAAAGUAAAAUGUAUUAACUUAGUAUACAACGUCAUAAGAUAUGAGUGCAAUUGAUUUGGUGUGAUUUAGAACAAUGUACAAUAACUUGGAAUAAUUGAAAGCUGAAGAAUGAAAUUUGUUUCUUAUUGAGAUCUUAAACUCAACUGCAAACGCUAGUGAGAUUACUAAACACAAACGUUCGUCAGUCUAUGACAUUAGUGAUGUAGUGAUUACUCUUAUUCAAAAAAUUAAGUUAUAUCUACAUAAGCAAUUGAUAGAUGCGACUUAUUGAAUAGAAAGGUAGAUGGUAGGACCAUCAUACAUGUGUUAAACUUUAAUAGUCUGAUGACUCCUCUAUUAAGUUUUUGGAGUCAGUCAUUAUAGUGCUAAAAUACAGUUCAUUCUUUGGUAAUCCAACUUCACUAAAAAUACCAACUUGAAAUUCAAAAUAUUGAGGAAAUAUGAAAGAAUACUGAAAAUACUAUGGAGAUCAAGGAUACAUAAUAACAUAUAGGUAAAGUCUGAAUGUUUUUUUUUUUUAAUCAAAGGGUCAACUCUUUAUUGAAUAUAGAACUAAAUUAUACGUUACAAAUAUCAGCUGCUAUAGCAGAGUGAAUAAAAUUGGUGCAGAACUAAGUCUGAAUGUUUUUGUAACUGCUAGACACCAUACAAUCAAUUUUGCUAAAGCAUUUUACAUCCACGCUAUUCGGUGCUUAUGACCAAGGAGAGCAUCCAGUCCUUUCACACCCAAAACAAGGUAAACAACUUAAUAAAGAAUAAAUGAAUUUCUUCAAUAAGCCACGGAUAUUCAGUGAUAAUUUAGUUUAAAAUUCUUAGGUAUGUUGAUAGUAAUUUACAUUACGCGCAUCAACAUUUCCUCAUGAAAACAAAAAAAACAAAGCAUUUCAAAAUAUUCAACUAUCGUAUUACUAUGUAUGAAUCAAAUGGUUUGGAUAACAGAAGCAAAUAAGAAAUAUGUAAAUGAAAUAAUGUCAAUAUAGGAAAGAGAAUAUAUUAUAAUACUGAUUCUCCUAGAAGCAGAUAAGAUGACAUACCAACUCCAAAGCCAUGUCCAAAACCAACGCCACAACCAAUGCCGGCUUCAAUGUUCUUUGCUCCAACCUUCCUUAACUGGACAAUGAGAAAGCAGAAUAAGACAUUUGGGAAUCCUUCAACACUUGUAUAAUGAUUUUCUCUUCCUAUCUCAUAUCAAGACACAGAAUACUCCCGAGAAUCCAAGACUGAAAAGGAAAAAGUUAUUCGACUUACGGCGUCAGUUACAUGUCUGCUAACUCCCGAAAAAGCAUCAGUGGCACCUCUUGUGGCACCCAUGACUUGAUUUACCACUGGUACUGCACCUGGUAUAUAGCCAAAGUAAUGUGUGAGUUAACUAAUAUCUACUAGUCCGCUACAACCAUAGAAGAAAUCUCUUGUCAAUGAUAUCUUUACUUGAGGACACUUGUGACUUAAUUUUAUAGAUUAAUGAUAAUAUAUAUAUAUAUAUAUAUAUAUAGAAUUAUCUUUUUACUCCUGCUAUUCUCUGCGCUUGUAAUUUCGUGAAAGAAGGAUUGGAAAAGAUUUCUAUCUGAAGGUUUUGGCUGACAGAAAAUACACAUACAUAAAAUAUAAAAUUUGAAAAGACUAUUAGAUCAAUGGACUAAAUGAGCAAGGAUAAUAAAAGGCUCUAUAAACAAUAGAAAACUCAGAUUUACGAUCAUAAGUGACAAAGACCAAAUGUACUUUAAGUACUAAAAAUAAUGAGGAAAGGGAUAUGCAUACUUGAAUUUUUGGAUUAUUGAGAUGCCAAAAGGACAAAUACAUUUUCAGUGUACAUAGUAUAUUCCCUGCGUUGCUACAACUCUUUAAGUCUUUAACUUAUAGGUCAAUUAGAGCACGCAUAGGUACAGUGAUGCCCAUCAAGCCUAUAAUAUAAAUACCGAAUUCUAUGUGCUAAACGUGUCUUGUUUUAUAGAACUAAGCACAAAUGGACAUGAAAACAUUCAUUUUUUAAGCACAUGUUAAUGCUGAUUUCUUUCAUUUCUCCCUUCCUCUAAGUUGUUUUCCUCGACUCAAAGGUUAGCAAUGCAGCUUUCCCUUUUCAUUCAUACUUAGACAGGAGUUAAUAUCUUGGAUCAUGCAUGCUAACAAAGUAACAAUGUGGCUAUGUCAGGUGAAUGAUCCUACAUUAGUAGCUUUGGUGACUUGUGGAUAACCUACCAAAUAACCACUAAAACACAUGUGGAAUAUAUUGGUCUUGGAACUCAAAUCCAUUGCCUAUCAGAUAGUGUAAAACUAAGAACUCUCUACCUUCAAAACAACAAUUUAAACUGCUCUGAUGACUACAAAUUGAAUUGAUUUCCAUGUAUGACUACACAACACCAAUUCAAUGUUUCAGAAUAUGAGAUCUCAGAAAUGAGCAAGAGUGGUAAACUAUAGUUCUUGGAAAUAUAAAGGACACCAGGUCCACCAAUAUCGUUGUAUCAACAAAUCCUUCAUUAUCUAAAACGAUAUAAGCACAAGAGACUCAAAUCAGAACAUAGCUUCAAACUGCACACACCCCACGAUCACAUAUUGACUAGAACCACAAUGCGCAAACCUCAAAACAACCAAAUUCUCUACAUCAAAACCAACGCACACUGCAGCUACACUAGCAAAUAACCAAAUGCAAUAUCUAUAAACAAUCAACCAAUCUUCCUUCAUUCACUAAAGGUCUAAAGCCAACAUGAAACAGCUUAAUCACAUUUCCCUACACUAACUCAGCAACCAAAAACACGACCGAAAUUUGAAAACCAAACAAACAAACAGUCCAUUAGAACCUUGUGAGUGAUGGGUUUCACCAUUUUUGGGCUUGAAGAGCCUCCCAAAGUCCAUCUUCAAUAUUUUAAAACUCACAGAGAACAAAGCUACACAACACUGAGAGAGAUAGCAAGGACUAAAAGAAAAGGGUGAGUACCUAAAUUAAUGGGGCGGCCAACGCCGAUACCAACACCACAGCCUAUGCCAAACCCAGUAAAUACUUGACCCACUUUCAAAGUAAACGGAUUCCCUAUUCGAAUCGGCUUCUUCUCAUUGGCCACCACCACCACCUUACUGCUUCCCUCCAUAUUCCCCAAAAAAGCUUCUCUCUUUUCAAAAACCCAAGUCUCUCUCUUUCUUUAGUCUUUCACAAAGCUAAAGCUUCAACCUUUUCUUUCUUUCCUCUUCAAAUUUCCCACCUUUGCCCUCUCUGUGAAGCCUGAACUGUAAGUCUGAUACAAUUUUAGGCAGGAGGCAAACUGAACAGAGUUUCUACUCCUCUGCUUACAAAACCAUUAUAGUAAUCUUAGGCUUCAAGUGAUGAACCAAUAUAAACAUGACACAGCAACAAUGAGGAGGUCAAUUACCAGAUUACCUUCAUACCUAAGAAGUAAGGUACUAACCAAGUGUCAAAGAAAGAGGUUAGCUGGAGUUGUUUGGGCCUAUUGGGCAGGUUAAUUUUUGACGCGGCCCGGCCCAUUGUUUGGGUUCUGACACUGAUAACCCGCCUUAUACUGAUUCUUUGCUUCUGCUAGUGCUAGAUUUUGGGGCACGGUUUCUGGGUGAGCUUCUUCAUCUUUGUUUUGUUUCCUUGUUUUUCGUUUCUCUGUUUUCAUUUUGCUGCAUUUUUAGUAUGUGGGUUUUGUGAGUUUGGGGGCUUUUUGCGUGAACGUUUAGAGAGUUUUUGGUGUGGGAAUGUAGGUUUUGAAAGGUGUGAUCUUGAUGGGUUCUUUUCUGUGUGUUUUGGUUUCUGCAAAUUUGGGUGAGUUUCCUCACCUCUUCUUCUUUCUUUUCCUUUUUUGUUUCCUGCAUUUUUAUUGGGUACAAAAAGUUGGUUUUGCUGAGGUUGGGGUUUUUGAGGAUUCUGGAUUGGAGUUGUGGGUUUGGACUAUGGAGUAUGGAUCAUGUGUUGAAACGAGCUUUCCAAAGUAGAGUUUUCUGCAACUGUAGCCUUGUAUAGUUGUGUACUUGUGUUUAGAGAAAUGGGUAGGAAUAGAACAUUCACCAAGUGUUAUGAAUCCCAUUUGCUUAAUUGGGUUACAAGAUAGGGAUAGGUUUACUUACCCGUUACCCCUCAUGGGGUUCUUUUCAGUUUGGUUAUCUGUUGUGUUUUGGACUUUUAUGUUUAAUAGAUUAUUCAGGGUUUCUGCUUUUGGUUGUACUAUGGAACGUUUAUAUGUAUGUUCUGAGUGUUGUGUGAACUUUAAUUGGUGAUCCAAUCUUUCUAGCAAAGUGUCCCGCACAGUGCUCACUUUGAACACAAAAGGUUUCGACCUUAUCUUCACUUGUGGAAGUUGAGGAAAUCUGUCAAAUGGAGCCUAUUCUACAUAUUCGAUCUUUUGCUGCACUAUAUUCAUGAACACUUUCGUCACAGCUCUUGAUUUUUAACUAGUCCCCUGCUAGUGAAUUUUGUGCGACCAUUGGUACCCCAAUGUUGUUUUAGGUUGAACUUUUUCCUCAGCUUCUGUUUGUUUCUUCAGUUUUGAAAUUUUCCAGCUUGUCUUCAGGUUCCUAUAUAGUGUGUAGGAAAUCUGCUAUGCUUGUUGAGUUUCUGGUAACUAGAUUGUUUGUGGAUUUUGUUGCUUACUUGCUUUGGUUGCAUAUUAACUAUAUAAAAUCUGUAGAUGUGCUCAAGUAUUUAUGUGUACUUUCAAUUAGUAUUUCAGUUUCUUUUUACAUAAUCAUAUGUGGUUUAGCACAUUCAUUUUACUUUACAAAAUUUGGAGUAUGGUAAUUGUUGAAGCUAACAAUAGUCUCUUCGUGGAUCAGGUGUCAACAUCGCUUACCAUUUAUGACAAGCUUCCAUCAGGAAAAAUCAUUGCUUCUGUCAAACUCUGUGAUUACAAAUCUGGCAAGGUAUUCAACUUAUGUUAGCCUUUGAAGUAUACAUGAAUUUGCAGUUCAGCUGCAACUUAUAUCCACAUUUCUUUUAUCUAUUGCUGCAGUACCUUUAUGAACAAGUAAAAAGCAGUUGAUCUGAACUAAUCCUCUGCUAUUUGUUUUUGCAUAGUAAUUGGCGGUCCUAGCAUUAUUUCAGGAGGGGAAACUAGAUACUUGACAACUUCAGUUACAUUUGUAAACGAUAUUGCUGGUCUAAGCUUGACAGAGCCAAAUUCCUUUGAUUUAGUAGUUCUGUAAGUUGGCCACUAACAGAAAAGUACCUGUAGUUUUUGGAUGAUUAAACAGACAAACAUACUGUUGUUAUUUAGGUUUGUCGCAGUGUCUUUUGGUUGCUAGUCAAUAAGAAUACUUGUCUUUGAUGGUUAUUGUGAUUUUAGGUUCUUGAGCAUUACAUAGGGUUAUGUGUUAUCGUUGCAGGAUUUGGAAUCAUCAAUUGUAUCACUAAGUGGUAUCCAUUUUCAAGUAGGAUUUGGAACGUUGCCUAUGGAAAAUUCUGAGCUACCAGCGUAUAAGCGGUGUAGAGUCUCUGCUGUUCGUGACUUUCCUAUUGGGUGUGGACCAUUUGCUCACUUGAGUAAUUUGAAUGCCAAUGGUACAGAGAAGAUUUCAGAUAAAAAAUAUCCUCCUCGAUCAGUAGAAGCUGUUCGGGAUUUUCCACCUUUAUGUGGGAUCAAUGCUUCUCCGGAGGCCAGGAAAUUCAGCAAAGAGAAGUCAGUUAGGGGUUAUAAGCCCUUGUCAUCAAAGACAGCGAAGAAUAAUGAGAAACAAACAGGACUUGGGAACAAAGUUCAACCCAACAUUGAGAAGAAAAUUGGAGGACACUCUCUAAAGAAGAAUAAUCAUGUACCAGUAAAGGCUGCUUGUCAAGGUACAAGUCAGCCUGAUAUAAGGAAGAAGGAGUAUUCUCAGCAUGAUGAAAAAGAACAUAAUCUUGUGAUUCCAAAAUCACGGAGUACAGAUGGGUGCCCUCCUCCUUUUGGUUAUAGUAGUUUGAGCCGCAGAAGUCAUGAUAAUGACACGAGUGAAAGGAACAAGGUAAAGGAGAUAUUGCAUUUGUUCCGAGAUGAAUGUCAGAAGCUCUUGCUGGAGGAAGAAAAUAAAAGGUCAAGGGGUGUGGGAACUUCUCACCGAAGGGUUGAUUUGGAAGCCUUCAAGAUCCUCAAGGAUAGGGGAAUCUCUAUAAAAUCAGGCAAACAUGUCAUAGGAGAUAUUCCAGGAGUUGAAAUUGGUGAUAAGUUUCAUUACCGAGUGGAACUUAUCCUUAUUGGCCUCCAUCACCAGAUACAAAGUGGUAUAGCUUAUGGACAUUUCGGUGGAAAGGUCCUUGCAACCAGUAUCGUUGCAUCUGGUGGCUAUGCAGAUGAUUUGCAUAGUAAAGAUUCAUUGAUCUAUACUGGCCAUGGAGGAAAUGCAAAUCCAAAGGACCCUCAAGAUCAGAAGCUUGAACGGGGAAAUCUUGCUUUAAAGAAUAGUGUGCAAAAGAACCCUGUUAGAGUGAUCCGUGGCUCCGAACUAGUGGAUGGAAGCAGGACAUAUUUCUAUGAUGGAUUAUAUAUGGUAGAGAAAUGUUGGCAGGGUAGAGGUGCUCAUGGUAAGCUUGUUUUCAAGUUUCAGAUGAACAGAAUUGGAAGCAUUGGAAAUUGACGUGUGAGGUUAGUACUACUUAUUCAUCUAUAAGAUAUUUGGAUAUUAUAAGUUAGAACUCGGUUAGUUACAUAUAUCGUGCAUUGUACUGCAUUUGGUUGAGUGGAUGCAUGCAAAUAUGAAAUACUAUCAUAACUGAUGAACUGAAAAUGCAUUGAAUAUGAUUAGACCAUGAAUCCAUUCUUUAUCAUGGUUUCUGAUUUAUGUAGUGUUGAUUCCGUUGGAGUUAAUUUGGUUGUUUUUCGUCCCCACAGAUGCAUGCUUGAACUUGGGUAUACAAGGAAGAAUUGCCAGCCAGUAUUUGACCCAUCUAAAAGAGCUAAGCGGAUGUUUUGUAAAAAGGAUUUUCCAGCGGUUAGUAAGGUGUUUCUGUGACAGGUAGAGUAGAUAAACCGACUUUUGUGAAGAACUUUAGCAUUGAAAAAAAAAAAAAAACUUCUGUGAAGAACUUGACAGUGAGGCACAGAUCGAUGUACUGUCUAGAUAGUGUGAAGCUUGUUAUCGAUGUAAUUAGGUCUAAACUUAAUGUAGGCAGUAUUACGUGACAGUUAUGUGAAUGCUGUGUUGAGUUUGAUAUUGAUCAUGUUUUGCUUGCUAGUUGCAGGAGUUGGCAAUUGCUCUAGUGUGUAAAGUGCAGUUUCAAAUUUCUUGAACUGCGAUUUCCCGCCCAUUAUUAUUGUCACACCUAUAGUAUAAUACACCUUGUUCAUAACCCAAAAGCCCCUAUCAGUUUUAUGAAGAUGCAUAGCUCUGAAUAAAUCGCAAGAAAAGCAUCAAUAAUUUUUCAUAGAUGAACUUUCUCAGAUAAAUAUGUAAGAUCAAUACCUUGCCAGCAAAUAAUUUUCAGGUAGAAAGCAAGAAAUGGACUUAACAUAUAAAUCGUUGCGAAUUAAAAUGCGUGGCAUUCUAAUAUAAUCAUGUCCACUGCAAGGUGUUGGGUGUUGGGGUGGACUAGAGGCUAAACUCGAUCUGUACAAGGAAAAAUUCGAAGUGUCAUAUGUUCUCCCUGGACUUUUUGUUUAGCAAACUAGCACCAACAAAAAAAACUAUACAAUUGUCAUAAAAUAAAGAUGCUGUAAUUUAGAGUGGAAGAUAACUUUAUGUUAAGUCUUUAGUUUCAACAAUCAAAUUUUGCGAGUGAUCCCCAACUAAGUGUGAUAUCUCAUUGAAAUUUUACUGAUUUUGGUUAACGUGUUGAAUGCCAAGCCUACUUACUACAAACCUUCAUUUCAUCGUAAUAUUUACCAUGUAUAUAUCUUGUGUUUAUGUAGUACAAAUAAGAGCAAUAUUAUCAAUUCUAUAUUCGUGAAGUUUUUACACAAGUCCUAAAUAAGAUCAAUUCUUAUUUUAUGGUUAUCUAAGUGACAUCGCUCGUGUAAAGGGAGGUGAAUAUGUGGUUGUCACAGAGGUGCGUGGAGGAGAGAUUGGUUGUGAAAAUAUAGCCGCAAAUGGCAAAUUAUAAUUCUUACGAAUUCAUUCAAAGUAGAUAAAUUUAUGAAACAAUUAAAGAUGUGAAUUGUAGAUAAAAUUUUAAAGUCAAUAGCGUGAGGAAUAAAAUGAAGUUGUACAUAUGUGCUUACCACCACAUGUAUAAAGUUAGGCCUUUUUUUUCUUUUUUGGUUACAAGUUAGACCUUUUUUUUUAUGAUACAAAAUUCGAUGAGUUGUUGGUCGUAUUUAUGAAACAAUUAACGUGUGAAUCAUAGUAGAUAAAAUGUUUAAGAUAAAACAAAAAGAUAAAAGGAAGUUAUUUUUCAGUGCUUACGGCCACAUGUAUUAAGUUAGACCCGCAGUCCAUCACCGAAUGCAAAGCUGCCACAUCAAUCCAGUCAACUGUUUUUAAAUUCUAUGACCAAAACGACCUGGUGUAACCGUUCAGACAAUUCCUGUUUUAGAAACAAACUGACUCGUUGGCAGUCAAUGGACUCUAUACACGAAGUCACGAACUACAAUUAAUUAGCUCAUCAUAUGAAUCCGACUGCCACCACCCUCUUGGGAUUUCUGCGUUUCUUCUCUCAAGUUUGCGUGAGUUUCUCCCUUACCUCUUCGUCUCCCGUAUCAAUUCUUCUGCAUUUUCAACAUAUGGCUGGGAUUUUGGGUGAGAAUAGAUCAUUGUAACUAAUGAUAGUUUUAUUGAGGGCUUCUUGUUCGUUUUCAAUUUUCAUUCUCAAUCUUCUUGCAUGCUGCUUGAUCACACUUCAGUCACUGCAAAGGUUAGCUUGUAGCUGGUUUAGUAUAAUUCUGUUAGUUAGUGUAUAUCUAUGUAAAUUGAGAAAAUGAGUGACUUAGUUGGGUUUUCUGGGCUCAUGGGCAUGGAAGUAAACAGUAUUAGAUGAUAUGAAUGUCACCGGUCAAAAGCUUUCAGGUGAGAAUGGUUCUGUUUUUUUUUUUUUUAAAGGAGUGAGAAUGGUUCUGUUGAAACCAUAAGAACCAUAAGAACUCACCCAGAUAGAUGUACUGGUUCUUUUAGAUUACAGUUUCAAUUCGUAUUUCACAUUAAUAUUUCUAGCGCAAAUUCCCAGCAUGCUCAAUUUGAGAUCAAGAUGGGAAUAAAGUGUGACCAGCUGGCUGCCAUUUGCUCUUAUUUUUACCUAUGUGUGUAUUUCUUCACAGUAGUUAAAUAGUAAACUUACUUCUGUUGGGAUAUAGCUGCACAAGUGAGGGGUCGAGAGGGGGAGUAUCAGAUUGAGUUACUACCAUAACUUUUUGUGUCUGACAAUUGUUUGCUUUGUUGAAUAGGUAUCAGCAACCUUCACAAUUGAAGUCAUCGGCAACUUCCAGAUCACAAAGUAUAUCUCUGGUGUCAGUUACAAAGCCAGAUUCCUUUGCUUCAGUAGUAAUUCCGUAAGUUCCACAUUCAGAAAAAAAAUUAGCAUAAUUACUGCGUGAUAAACCGUACUAAAGUCCGAGGACAGUUAAGUUAGUUGCUAGUACUCGAUUGUAGCGCGUACAUAUCCGUGUCUAUAUAUAUAUAUANNNNNNNNNNNNNNNNNNNNNNNNNNNNNNNNNNNNNNNNNNNNNNNNNNNNNNNNNNNNNNNNNNNNNNNNNNNNNNNNNNNNNNNNNNNNNNNNNNNNNNNNNNNNNNNNNNNNNNNNNNNNNNNNNNNNNNNNNNNNNNNNNNNNNNNNNNNNNNNNNNNNNNNNNNNNNNNNNNNNNNNNNNNNNNNNNNNNNNNNNNNNNNNNNNNNNNNNNNNNNNNNNNNNNNNNNNNNNNNNNNNNNNNNNNNNNNNNNNNNNNNNNNNNNNNNNNNNNNNNNNNNNNNNNNNNNNNNNNNNNNNNNNNNNNNNNNNNNNNNNNNNNNNNNNNNNNNNNNNNNNNNNNNNNNNNNNNNNNNNNNNNNNNNNNNNNNNNNNNNNNNNNNNNNNNNNNNNNNNNNNNNNNNNNNNNNNNNNNNNNNNNNNNNNNNNNNNNNNNNNNNNNNNNNNNNNNNNNNNNNNNNNNNNNNNNNNNNNNNNNNNNNNNNNNNNNNNNNNNNNNNNNNNNNNNNNNNNNNNNNNNNNNNNNNNNNNNNNNNNNNNNNNNNNNNNNNNNNNNNNNNNNNNNUUUAAGAAUUUGAGGAUUUCUACUAUUUUACAUUAGUAGAUGACUUCUUUUAAUAAUCUCAACCGUUGAUCCUCUAGAUUCAUAUGCAAGAAAUAUGUCUACAAAAUUUCAACUUGACACGACCCGCCUCAAAUUUCACCCUGAAACCCGGAGUAAGUCGUGCGGGGACCACCUCCAAGGAAAAUUUUACCGAAAAGAUUGGUAAAACCUCCCUUGAAAAUGGACAACCCUAACUCGAAAAUUCAAAUUUACACUCUUACUACAACACGUCCAAACUUCACAUAAAUAUCCAGCUAAUAAAAGCAAACAUUAUCCUUCAGAGAUUCUAAACAUCAAAUCAACAGGCCGAGCACACCACCGAAAUAAUAUACAACAAUCCCAAAGUAUCCAGAGCUACUAGACUAUAGCGGAAGCAAGAAAACACGAGUAGGUUGAACAAGUAACCUACUGAUGAAAACUAGCAAAAAUGCGGGUGACUAUGCCUCGCCUCCUACUAGAUCCAACCCGAACUCUGCAAACUGGGCAUUUUUUUAAAACGAAGGGCCCAGGGGAAAACAUUUAAUAACGUCAGAGUGAGUGGACAAAAAUAAAUUAAAAAAAUAAAAUAUUUAUGUUUCCCCGACUCAAUUCCCAAGGAAAAAUCGAAUGCAUGCCGCAAGCGAUAAAACUUUAAUCUCAUAAAAUAUCGAGCCUCUCAGACUCUAUAAUAUAUGUAUGUAUUCACACACGUCUAUACUCCCUAUAUAAAUUCAUAGGUCUAUAUAGGGCUACUACGCUCGCGUCACGCCUUAAUGCGGUGCUACACUACGUCAUUAAGAUGGACAGACAGGUGUAUAAAUAUGUGUCCAUACCCCCUAUAUGAAUUAAACACUCAAAUAGGGCUACUACGCUCACGUCCAACGCUCACGUCACACCAUAAUGCGGCUAUAUGCUACGCCAUUAAGGUGGACAAACACAUAUGGCUAGCUAGCAUUUUAUAUACAUACUCUCUCAUAAAUACAUAUUUAUAUCCACCGAAAAUUCCAUUUUCGGUAACUCUCCAAGAGAAAUAAAAUUCGUCAAAUUAAAAUGACGUCAAAAUAUUCCGCAACAAUUAUUGUUCAACCAUGAACUCUAGCAUGCAUUUUAUUUAAAACAAAAAUCCACUCACAAAUUUGGCCUAAGCCUGAUGUUGAUCUGGGGCCUCGUCUGCUCGAGCCUCCUCACGUCCUGAUCCAAAAAUAAUAUUAAUUUCCCAACUAACAAUCCAAUGUUUAAUCAAAAUAGGCAAAAUUACCCGUGAGCCAUAAAUACGCUCAUCAUUGCCUAACUUCGAUAAUCUUAAAUCGAAACGAUCCGAACUUAAAUAUCAUACUCGGCAGCCGUAAAUACAACCUCCCCAAAAAAUACGACUUAAAUCCUACGGCCGGAUUCUACAUUAAUUAACCGCCAAAAAUACCACACUUCGGAAAUUCAUAAACAUAUCCAAAACUCAUCCAAAAAUUCCAUAACUCACUUCAAUAAACUCCCCCUAAUAUUCCAAAUUUAACAACAUUAAAAAUCUCCCAACCGGCGGUGGCCGGAGGCCAAUUCCGGCAACCUCCAAAACCUAUGAAAUUUUGACAGCAUCUUCCUCUCAUCAUGCUCUACAACUUUCCUAACUAGCACAAACCCAAAAUCCAAGCCUAGCUAUGCCAAUCGAACAGAAACAUCAAAAACGCUCUAGAAUUUCAACUUCACAUUUCUCCUUACCUAGCUUAAGAGAGGGUGAGCUGUUUGGAGGGGUUGCUACACGGGAGGAGGGCUACAAAACGAGCCAAGGAUCGCCAGUUUUGGUGGCCGGAGGAGGGAGCUCCGGCGAGAGAACCACCACGGCAGUUAGCGGCUCCGGGUGUCGUUGCUCUCUCACGACGGCGCUAGGGGAACUGCUACCAGCCUAGAAUGAAAGCUGGGUUGGAGGCUGACCGAACGGGACUGGUGCGGUAGUCUCAGGCGGCCGGACGGCGGCGGAUGAGCGGCCGGAAGGUUUGGCUGCGGGAGGGACUCGAGGAGAGAGAGAACCGGGAAGAAAAGAGAGAAGAGAGAAAAUGGGUUUGGGCCUCACACCCCAAACUGGUCCAACCCAAUUCCAAAAAUAAAACACCCCGAAAAAAUAAUACCCGAAUAAAAAUUACAUUUUACUAUCUAAAAUUUACCAUUUUUACCGUCGUCAUAACUUUCUCCUACGAAUAACUCUCCGAAAUAAUCGUCCCCCGAAACCCCUCUAGGGACCAAUUAAACUAUUAUCUCAAUGACGGAGAUGGGAAAAUUCUUAUUAUAAACAAGCUAGUAAAUAAGGUAAAAAUAUAAGAGUCGGGAUGUGACACAACUAAUUCCAUAAUCAUUUGGUCAUUCAAAAUGAUGUAAACAAUUGUAGGCCGUUAAAUAAAAUUAAAAUGAACAUUGUGUUAAUCAAAUGGUUAAACGUUUUUCAUUUUGGCUAAUUUUUUGUAUGAUUCAUAUGUGGGUAAGUAACUAGGGAAUGGGUGGCUUUGAUUGUCAAAAUAUAUGCUAGAACUAAAAACAUCCUUACUUUAAGAGUUUAAUAAGGUCCUUUGUAGAUCUGGACUAUAUAUAUAUAUAUAUAUAUAUAUAUAUAUUAUAUAUANNNNNNNNNNNNNNNNNNNNNNNNNNNNNNNNNNNNNNNNNNNNNNNNNNNNNNNNNNNNNNNNNNNNNNNNNNNNNNNNNNNNNNNNNNNNNNNNNNNNNNNNNNNNNNNNNNNNNNNNNNNNNNNNNNNNNNNNNNNNNNNNNNNNNNNNNNNNNNNNNNNNNNNNNNNNNNNNNNNNNNNNNNNNNNNNNNNNNNNNNNNNNNNNNNNNNNNNNNNNNNNNNNNNNNNNNNNNNNNNNNNNNNNNNNNNNNNNNNNNNNNNNNNNNNNNNNNNNNNNNNNNNNNNNNNNNNNNNNNNNNNNNNNNNNNNNNNNNNNNNNNNNNNNNNNNNNNNNNNNNNNNNNACUAUAUAUAUAUAUAUAGUCUGUUUCUGGUGCGGACGUCCGUACAGGUUUUUCGUACGGAUUUCCAUCGUUUCUCCACCUUUCCAGCGCCGGCGACGCCGUUUCUUCUCCCCGGUGUGAUCUCAGACCUCCUCCGACGUUGUUGGAAUGAAGAAGAAGGCCGGAGAGAUCGCGAUCGGAGGUCUACCAUGAUCGGUUGUGAAGUUCUGAGUGAGAUUGCUGCACAGACCUCCGAUCGCGAUCUCUCCGGCCUUCUUCUUCAUUCCAACACCGUCGGGGGAGGUCUGGGAUCACGCCGGGGAGAAGAAACGGUGUCGCCGGCGCUAGAAUGGUGGAGAAAUGGCAGAAAACCCGUACGGAUGUCGGCACCAGAAACAGACUGUAUAUAUAUAUAUAUAUAUCUAUAUAUGUAUAUAUAUAUCGUUUUUAUUCGAAAUUCGGCGAAAGGUUUGUUAGGACUAUGUGUUCGAAUUAGCGUUACAUUUGUGAAUUGUCAUUUUCUUGACCUUUCCGAUCGAAAUUUAAAGUUGUUUAGAAAACUUUGUAUCAUUAUGGAUUUUGUUCUCUUUCUCUAUCGAUCUUUUUUUCUUUUCCCAUUAUGAUGAGUUUCUCACUUCGUCAAAUUGUCGCGGCUGCUUAUUGAUAGGGUGAAGCUAACUGUCCUCGCAUCUAUCUUCUGGCAACAAUAUAAUUUAAAGUUUAUGAAAUACUAAUUAGGUUGUGUAAUUGUGUUACAUAUCUAGUGAUUUUUUUACCGUUGUGUCAAAGCAAAUGGAGUUGCCAGUAAAACAAUAUAUUUUUUCGCUAAUUGAUGCUUAUAGAAUAUAUACUUGUCCGAUGUGAGUAGUCUUAUUAUUAUCUCGGGACAUACUCCAAAUGCUUCUUAUAAUCACGGGUUUAGACUCAUGUCACCCUUAUAUUCAAUAGUAUCAUUAAUCAAGGCUCGAGAGAAUCCGUACUAGCCCUUCAUUCAAAAAAUAAUAAUUCUAUACUUUUUAUUUUUUGCUUUAUGAAGAUAGAUUCAUGUAUAGUGAAAGAGAGAAUUAUACACAUUUAUGAAGAGAAAUAUUUUUAUUUACUUUCCAAAUUUGUGAUUUUGAGUUAGUUGCUAGUUUGAUGAAACAUAUUCAUAUAUGUUUUUAAUUAUUUGGUGAAAAGUUUGUUUGGACUAUGUUUCUAUAUUAACGUUACUUUUUUUUAUUGUUCGUUUUGACCUACAAUGUAAUUUUCACCAAAUAUGAAUUAGAAAAACCCGAAAAUGGUAUCUAAAGAGAGAAUUUAAUAUUCUUAACGUUGUGUUUGGAUGAAGUAGUUUCAAUUUCCAUAGAAAUUGGAAAAUCAUGGAAAUUACAAUUUCAUGAAUUUAAAUUCCAUUAAUCGGGAAUUUCAUUGUUUGGAUUUCAUGAUAUAGAAUUUUAAAUGAUAAGAAUUUGUAUUUAGACUAACCUCAAUCGAGAGAAUUGACAAAUGACACCUAUUUUGUAAGGAAUUCAAGUUGGGAAUUUAAGUUUUCAAAUUCCACAAUUAUUUUCCUGUGGAAAUUGCUAAUUCCAUUGGAUAAGAAUCUAAACGGGGGAAAUAAUUCUAAGAAAUUAGGAAUUCUUAAUUAUGGAUUAAAUUCCCGAGAAUUCACCCACAUCCAAACACAACAUAAAGAUUUUGUGUUCCCUUUCUUGUUUUUCUUUUCAUAUUAUGUUACAAUUUUUUGAUUUUCGAUUUUCAUUAGGAUUAAGAUUUCCUACAUGUAUCAUGAUGAAAUCGACAAGGAAUAGUUUCUUUUCUUUCCUAAUUUAAAUUUUUUGUGAUCUAUAUAUAUACAAGUCGUUAAAUAUUUGAAGCUCAACAAGAAGGUCAGGAAGAGACUUGUUUUGUUUUUUAGACGUGCCCGUGAUUUGUUAGUUGUUUUUCCGCAGGCAUUGACAACUUCAUAGAUUGCAAAGUGUUAGUCAUAUCAACAAGCUAAACUUCUCCGCUUCGGCAUUCUGUAAGUUCCAUAUUUACUAUUGCUCUCUCUUUAGGCUUUACUUUAAUUUGUUUUGUUAAACCAUUGUGAAUACAUAUAGCUUAUAACUUAGUGAUUACCUAUUCUGUCUUCACAGGUUCUUGAGCAAUAAUUCAUUACCUAAUUGGGUUGUGAGUUGGAAUGGGGUCAGAGGGAUCAUUGCAGCGUACAGGGUCCUCGAGGAAACAUGAUGAGGAAACAUUGGGCUCUUCCCAUUCCAAGUUACUUGACCAUAAAAGGCCAAGAGUCUCUGCCAUUCGUGAUUUUGCGCCAGGGUGUGGACGAUCUACUCACUUCACAACUUCAGUUGGUAGUUCUGAUGAUAUGGCUAGGGAACAUCAUGUCCCUGCCGUUCGUGAUUUUCCCCAAGGAUGCGGACCAUCUGCUCGCUUGACAACUUCAGUUGGUACUUCUGAUGUGGCUAGGAAACAUCAUGUAGGAGCCGUUCGAGAUUUCCCUCCUCAAUGUGGAACAAGUGCGUCUCAGGAGGCCAGAAACUUUGAUCGAGAGGCGCAGUCAGUUAAGGGUGACAAACCAUCAACAUCAUCAAACACUGACAAGACUAAUGUGUAUCGUUCAUGGUGGACAGGAAAAGUUGCCCACAGAUCUAAACCAAAUGGAGAUAUUGGCCCAAUAAAAAAGCAACCUGAAGCAAAUCGUCAGCCAGAAAGAUCUCGGAAUGACUCGGACAAUACUAGAGGAAAGACUACUCAAUUUAGUGCUGCUAGCCUUCGUAACAACAACACAUCUCUCAUCCGAACGAAAGUGACAGAGACACUGAGUCGGUUCAGAGAUCUUUGUAUCGAGAUUGAGCGUAAGAAGUUGAGGGAAGGAGCAGCAAAUCCGAGAAGGAUAGAUUUUGAAGCUGCAAAGAUCCUCAAGAAAGAAAGAGGAUACGUUAAUACAGGCUCACAAAUAAUGGGAGAUGUACCAGGUGUGGAAGUUGGUGACAUUUUUCGUUACAGAAUUGAGCUCACCAUUGUUGGGUUACAUCGCCAGAUUGAAGGUGGGAUCGACUAUACACAUUUUGGUAACGAGUCGCUUGCAACUAGCAUUGUGGCGUCUGGGGGGUAUGCAGAUGAUACGCAUGACUUGAACUCCCUAACUUACACCGGCCAUGGAGGAAGCGUGAUGCACCAUAACCUCCCAGAGCAUCAAGAGCUUAAACGCGGGAACCUGGCUUUGAAGAAUAGUAUCGACGCGGAGAAUCCUGUUAGAGUGAUACACGGGUCUGAGACUUCCGGUGGAAGAAAGCAGUAUGUUUAUGUUGGACUAUAUUUGGUGGAGAGGUGGUGGAAGGAAACGGGGGAUCAUGGAAAGAUUGUUUACAAGUUUCAACUGAACAGAAUUCAGGGCCAGAGAUCGAUCCCUUGGUUGAUAUAACAUAUGAAUUAUUGGUGGUGCAACAACAUCUAGCUAGCUGACAGUUGAAUAAUUUUUGCUGUUCAUCGACACAAUUUGUCAUCUCUUCAUUACUCGUUGAUGGUUGUUGUACCAGUACUGUUCUUUCUUAGUUUGAUUCUGCAGCUGAUUUGCAGCCUUUGUUUCUCACAGAAAUUUUCUAAUUUCUGUGAUGCUAUUGUUUCAAUCAAGACUUCAAGGCCUCGUUUGGUUCAUGAAAAAGAAAGUAGUUGCUACAUUUUUCCUAUGAGAAGGGAAAGAGAAUGGGACUGAAGUUUUCGAAUAACUUUCUAUGUCAUUGGGAAAGCUGAUAACUAAUAUAAUAAAUAUUCUGCUGUGAGUAAUAAAUAUUAAGAAAGAAGAAAGGAAAGUGGUUUAUUUAGAUUUUAGAAUAGUAAACUACAUAUUAGUUACUAACCAAAUAUCAAUUAACAAAAAGGUACAUUAAGCAUAUUAGUAAACAAACAAGGACAAACUUUUACAAAUAAGGACAAAUUGUAAAUGCAUUGCCGUUAUGCAACACGUUAUGCUGUUGCCAUGUGGCAAUGCGCAUUUACAAUUGUGCCCUUCAAACUAAAUGUGCUGCUACUGUCGGCAGUUUACAAACUUCUGCUACUGCGAACUAAAGAAGUUGCUACUGUCGACUGUUUACAACGUUAUGCUACUGCCCCCUGUUUUUACUUUUCUGCUACUGCCCCCUGUACUGUCGGCAGUUUACAAACGUUCUGCUACUGCCUACCGAAUAAGCUGCUACUAUCGACUGUUUACAUACAUUAUGCUACUGCCUUUUGUUUUUACUUUCUGCUAUUGCCAACUAUUUUCAUUUUUCUCUGCUACUACUAUAUUGCCUAUACAUAUAUCAACCAUGGAAUUACUAUAUAUAUAUAUAUUCACUAUUACUGCUGCUAGCCUGCUACUGUAUAUGUCAAUCAUGGAAUCACCUAUAGAGUUGUUGCUACUGCUUUAUAUAUCCACCAUUAAAUCAUUUAUGGAAUAACUGUUACUAGCCUACUACUGCAUAUAUUAACCAUAAACCUCAUUCUUGUUCUAUUCACUCAUGGAAUCUCCUGCCAAUCAACCAAAACCCCCAAAAUUGAAAAUUUUCACGAGCAUUAACAUGCCCAGUCGCAUUCUAAAUCCUUCAAGGUCGCAGGUGACGACAGCGAAGAUCUCGACGUCUCCUGAUCUCUAACCCAAACAAAGAUGAAGCUGACCAUCAUCAAUUCCCACCAAACAUGAACAAAAUGAAAUUGAAUCAGAUAAAAAAAAAAAACAAAGUAAUUGAAGAAGACCCCCAACCAUGUCUCGUCGUUGGUGAGGCAUUAGUGUUGGAAUCAGAUCUGAUGCACAGAAAAAGUAGUUGAAGAAGAUGCCAAACUUGUUUCGUGGAGGCGUUGCCGUCCUCGUCGCGUCAGCAGCUUCGUUGUCUAGGAGGCAACGCUUCUUGAGAGAGAGAGAGAGAGAGAGAGAGAGAGAGAGAGAGAGAGAGAGAGAGAGAGAGAUAAGAA
This 23902-nucleotide long non-coding RNA is filed under the name Fragaria vesca (wild strawberry). Its description in RNAcentral is "long non-coding RNA (FVES_LNC002566)". Lineage: Eukaryota; Viridiplantae; Streptophyta; Magnoliopsida; Rosales; Rosaceae. The record is from RNAcentral.